AUACGGAGGAUGCAAGCGUUAUCCGGAUUUAUUGGGUUUAAAGGGUGCGUAGGCGGUUUGCUAAGCGGGAGGUGAAAUGCCGGCGCUCAACGUCGGAAGUGCCUCCCGAACUGGUGGACUUGAAUGACUCUGCCGUGGGAGGAAUGUGUAGUGUAGCGGUGAAAUGCUUAGAGAUUACACAGAACACCGAUUGCGAAGGCAUCUCACGAAGGGUUGAUUGACGCUGAGGCACGAAAGCGUGGGGAUCAAACAGGAUUAGAUACCCUGGUAGUCCACGCAGUAAACGAUGAUGGCUAACCGCUGGGCUUAUCAGUUCAGUGGCCAAGCGAAAGCGAUAAGCCAUCCACCUGGGGAGUACGACCGCAAGGUUGAAACUCAAAGGAAUCGACGGGG
RNAcentral lists this ribosomal RNA (393 nucleotides) under uncultured bacterium. RNAcentral's name for it is "partial 16S ribosomal RNA". It matches the Rfam family "Bacterial small subunit ribosomal RNA", at positions 523 to 918 of the family's 1533-position model. The record is from RNAcentral.